AACGAACGCUGUCGGCAUGCCUAACACAUGCAAGUCGAACGAGAUCUUCGGGUCUAGUGGCGCACGGGUGCGUAACGCGUGGCAAUCUGCCCUUUGGUUCGGAAUAACAGUUGGAAACGACUGCUAAUACCGGAUGAUGACGAAAGUCCAAAGAUUUAUCGCCAGAGGAUGAGCCCGCGUAGGAUUAGCUAGUUGGUGUGGUAAAGGCGCACCAAGGCGACGAUCCUUGGCUGGUUUGAGAGGAUGAUCAGCCCAACGGGGACUGAGACACGGCCCAGACUCUAAGGGAGGCAGCAGUGGGGAAUAUUGGACAAUGGGCGAAAGCCUGAUCCAGCAAUGCCGCGUGAGUGAUGAAGGCCUUAGGGUUGUAAAGCUCUUUUACCCGGGAUGAUAAUGACAGUACCGGGAGAAUAAGCUCCGGCUAACUCCGUGCCAGCCGCCGCCGUAA
Molecule: ribosomal RNA, 448 nt
Filed under: uncultured bacterium
Lineage: Bacteria
Description: partial 16S ribosomal RNA
Rfam family: Bacterial small subunit ribosomal RNA
Source: RNAcentral